AGUGAACGCUGGCGGUAGGCCUAACACAUGCAAGUCGAACGGCAGCACAGGAGAGCUUGCUCUCUGGGUGGCGAGUGGCGGACGGGUGAGGAAUACAUCGGAAUCUACUCUGUCGUGGGGGAUAACGUAGGGAAACUUACGCUAAUACCGCAUACGACCUACGGGUGAAAGCAGGGGAUCUUCGGACCUUGCGCGAUUGAAUGAGCCGAUGUCGGAUUAGCUAGUUGGCGGGGUAAAGGCCCAGCAAGGCGACGAUCCGUAGCUAGUCUGAGAGGAUGAUAAGCCACACUGGAACUGAGACACGGUCCAGACUCCUACGGGAGGCAGCAGUGGGGAAUAUGGGACAAUGGGCGCAAGCCUUAUCCAGCCAUACCGCGUAGGUGAAGAAGGGCUUCGGGUUGUAAAGCCCUUUUGUUGGGAAAGAAAUCCAGCUGGCUAAUACCCGGUUGGGAUGACAGUACCCAAAGAAUAAGCACCGGCUAACUUCGUGCCAGCCGCCGCCGUAA
Molecule: ribosomal RNA, 506 nt
Filed under: uncultured bacterium
Lineage: Bacteria
Description: partial 16S ribosomal RNA
Rfam family: Bacterial small subunit ribosomal RNA
Source: RNAcentral